This 560-nucleotide ribosomal RNA is filed under the name Saccharomyces cerevisiae (brewer's yeast). RNAcentral describes it as "partial large subunit ribosomal RNA". It matches the Rfam family "Eukaryotic large subunit ribosomal RNA", at positions 81 to 656 of the family's 3401-position model. Lineage: Eukaryota; Fungi; Ascomycota; Saccharomycetes; Saccharomycetales; Saccharomycetaceae. The record is from RNAcentral.
UAGUACGGCGAGUGAAGCGGCAAAAGCUCAAAUUUGAAAUCUGGUACCUUCGGUGCCCGAGUUGUAAUUUGGAGAGGGCAACUUUGGGGCCGUUCCUUGUCUAUGUUCCUUGGAACAGGACGUCAUAGAGGGUGAGAAUCCCGUGUGGCGAGGAGUGCGGUUCUUUGUAAAGUGCCUUCGAAGAGUCGAGUUGUUUGGGAAUGCAGCUCUAAGUGGGUGGUAAAUUCCAUCUAAAGCUAAAUAUUGGCGAGAGACCGAUAGCGAACAAGUACAGUGAUGGAAAGAUGAAAAGAACUUUGAAAAGAGAGUGAAAAAGUACGUGAAAUUGUUGAAAGGGAAGGGCAUUUGAUCAGACAUGGUGUUUUGUGCCCUCUGCUCCUUGUGGGUAGGGGAAUCUCGCAUUUCACUGGGCCAGCAUCAGUUUUGGUGGCAGGAUAAAUCCAUAGGAAUGUAGCUUGCCUCGGUAAGUAUUAUAGCCUGUGGGAAUACUGCCAGCUGGGACUGAGGACUGCGACGUAAGUCAAGGAUGCUGGCAUAAUGGUUAUAUGCCGCCCGUCUUG